CAUAGGCCGCGGUCGUCCCGGAGCACUCGAGCGGAACCUAGAUCCCGCGGUCUAAGUUCCUGCCCGAGCCUGAAACACGGAGAGCCAGUUUUUGGGCGCAUGCUCGCUGCAUGCUACGGCUCUCACCUGGCGCAGGCACAGGAGCGGCCCACAGCACUGUCCUCACAGCUCCGGGUCCCCUGGCCCCCGCGGCUUCAGAGAUUGUUGAACGGUGUUGGCCUUGAGUCUUGUCGACUUCGCGCCUCCCCCGCGACUCAGAGACAGAGUGACCUUGGCCGUGGUACAAACCGACCUAGGAACCAGAUGAGCAGAGACAUCUGCGUCCACACCUGGCCAUGCUCCUAUUAUUUAGAACUUGAGAAGCAAUGGGUCCCUGGAAAACUUUCAUUAACUUCUCUCUCACUAAAAUUUAUGACUGAUAAAACUAGAGAAAUUCUUGUCAACUUUCCCCUUUCUAGUAUAAUUGAGAUCAAGAAAGAAGCUUCUUAUUUUAUCUUCAGUUCUAUUACCAUCCUGGAAAAGGACCACAACAAGCACUGGUUCAGUUCCUUGCAGCCUAGUCGAAAUGUCGUUUUCAGCAUCAUCGAGCAUUUCUGGAGAGAGAAGCUGUUGUCCCAGUCAGGAGCUCCUGUUGGGGAAUCGUCCUCCCCUAUGACCAAGGGGAAGGAGUUGACUGGUCUGAUGGCCUGUACCCAGAAGCGUCUGGAAGACACAGCCAGAGUCCUCCACCAUCAGGGCGAGCAGCUUGACAGUAUCUCGAGAGGCCUGGACAAGAUGGAAUCUGACCUGGAUGUGGCUGACAGGCUGCUGACAGAACUGGAGUCUCCUUCUUGGUGGCCCUUUAGCUUCAAGCUUUGGAAGAUGCCAUCAGAAACAAAGCCCAAGUGGGACGCCUCAAUGGCUAGUUCCAAAGCUUUGGGAAAAGAAGGGAUAGUAAUCAAAAUUCCUGCUGUUAUUUCCCAAAAAACAGAAUCUCAUGUUAAACCAGGAAGGCUCACCGUCCUUGUUUCUGGAUUGGAAAUCCACAACUCAGAUUCUUUGCUCAUGCACAGAUUCGAAAGAGAAGAAGUAGAUGACAUCAAGGUUCAUACACCUUAUGAAAUUAGCAUCCGCCAGCGGUUCAUUGGGAAGCCAGAUAUAGCUUAUCGUUUGAUCUCUGCCAAGAUGCCGGAGGUUAUCCCCAUUUUGGAAGUGCAGUUCAGCAAGAAGAUCGAGUUUUUAGAAGAUGCCUUGAUGCUCAGAAGCACUAGAACCUCUCCCCUAGCAGAGAAGGGCUACUCAGUCUGGCAUGCAGCAUCUGGGCUGAUGGACCGUGCCAUGCACUGUGAGCCCUCCUCAGGGAGCCAGGAAGGGAGGCCACUUCAGCUACAGAUGAGCAAACCGUUAAUUUCCGAGGGGGACAGCCAGGAACUGAGACAGAUCCUGAGGAAACUAAAAGAUCUCGCGUUGGAUGCCGAAUCAGAGCUGGAGAGACAGGAUGAGGCCUUGGAUGGCAUCACUGCAGCUGUGGACCGGACAACCUUAACCAUUGACAAGCAUAAUCGACGAGUGAAAAAACUGACCUAGAAGGACAAGAAAGCAUAGAUGUGACUGCUUUUGUUGAGAAGCACUUCUCUGAGAUCCAUCCUAAUCCAAGGUCAUCUUGUCUUGAGAUCCUUACCUUGAUGACAUCUACAGAGACCCCAUUUCCAGAUAAGGUCACAUUCAGAGGUUCCCAGUGAGUAUGAAUUUUGGGUCACCUACGGAUGCCCAGCCUUGUCGUAGCUGACCCAUUCCAAAAAGACACGGAAAGUAGCACUUUUAGAAAGUAAUGUUCAUAAGGGUCUUUCAAUUCUUUCCUGUUUUGCAAUUUGGUAUAUUAUAUUCCUAGUCUGUUUGUCUUACUCGGUUUGUACUUACUAACCUCCAAAAUGAGAAGUGGACCUGUUCUUUCAAGGUUUCUCACGCUAAUGCAGCAUGUGAGCAGUUUGCUCUUGACCUUUCCUGGCACAUCAAGUGAUGGAGCUCUUGGAGCUCAUGCUCAUUCCAGGGGGUCUGAGCCCCAUGCAGCCCCUUCUAGUGCUUGAUGAUAGGGAGGUCGGGGAGGACACGGCAGGUGUGAAGAUGUGUCAUCAAGGACAGUUACUGAGAGCUGACGCCUAGAGGCAGCGGCAGCUGGAUCACGUCCCUAGGGACCUUGGAGGAAUGCUGGAGGAAAGGCAGCUCCUACCCUGGGCACAGGGCAGGUGCAGGUGUGCAGGCUGUGCCCAAAUACUGUAGCUUCUCACAGCAGCCCAUGAAGAGUGAGUUCCCCUGAGGUAGAGUAUGUGGUUCUCACCGUGGCCACACACUGGGCUCAUGCCAGGAACUCAGAAGAUACAAACACACGCACACACGCGUGCACUGACCCCAGACCCCUCAGUCAGAAUCUCUGAGGGUAUAUACAUUACCCAAAUGUUUCUAAUGAGCAGAAGGGGAAGAUCCACAGGCCAGGUGACUUACUGCCACCAGACCUGCUCUCUCCAUCUAGCUCUAGAGAGCCCUGAACAGCUGAAAUGAAAACGAAUCUGUCCCACUCAUGAUGCUGUUCUGAAUCCAGGUGGGCACUGCUCAAGAGUUCCCAGUGCAGCCUCCAGCGGCCAGCCAGCCUCUGCUUGUCCUGAAAACAGAUACCACCCAGCACUCAUGUGGCAUCAGGGCCGUACACACCUCGGCUGCUAACAGGCCUCUUGAAAGCAGGGGGCCAGGACUCCAUUGGUGAUCCCUCGCCAGGAGCAAGCCCUGAGCUCUCUGGGCCUCACGCUUUCCUAAUCCACCACCUGUGGAUGCAUAAAGCGCAGACACUCUGGGCAUGAAGGUGUGUGGUACAGAAGACAUUGUACUGUUAGAGGAUUAUUCUCCAGGCCUUUUCUCUCCCAUGAAUAGUUAAAUUGAUAGAGACUAUGGUCUGUUUAUGUGGAGACUUAGAGUGUAAAAAAAAAAAAAAAAAAAAAAAGCCAUCAAGGGCCAUUUUAUGCUAUUUUUUUUAACCUUGGCCCCAGAGUUAACUUUUUUAACCUUAACCCCUUCCAGUAGCAGAAAAUCCCUGUUUCAAACUGUUAGUCACCAAGGCUGAAACAAAAUUGCCAGGAACCGUAUAAAACCAGGCACUGAUUCCCACAGCACACUGAUUCCCCACCCCAGGUGCACUAGUUCCACCUCCCAUUGCUCCCUCAACUUAUGGUGCACUGACUCUGCCUCCACACUUUAGACAUGGGAAGGACACGAGGGGGAACAGAUAUUUUGAUGCUCCUAGAAGCAGUACCAGGGGAAGGAGAUGAGCAGGUAGGCUGGUGAUCUCUCCUGCCAUCCUCAGGCAGCCCAGGUGGUAAGUGCCGUGAUGGCUAGAACCAAGUGGAUCCCAUCAGGUGAGUAGACCCUCUGGAGAGUGGCAGGAAGGACACACUGAGCCUGUUGGCAUCAUCAUCGCUGGUGUUUGGAUCAGGACCUAUUGUGUCUCCUGUUUUGUUUUUUACUUUCCUGAUGUGGAGUGUGUCCUCUAACAUUGACACUGGGUUUAUGUGUGGGGUCAGGCUCACCCACAUGAGUACCAAACUCUAUUUGCCACUGUUUAGCCUGUGACUGAGGGAAUUAUGAGGGGAUUAUGUUAGUUUGUUGUCACCCUGUAAGGUGUUUGUACUUCCUAAAACAUAUAACACUUUGAGCUCAGUUUUACACUCUGUAGAGGUGGGCAGAAUACAAGACCCACAUCUGAUGCAGCUGUGAGACCAAUAUUGAGCUGAAAUGAAACUGCUUUGACAUUUCAUCAAAAAUGGCUGAUCCUUUUGUUUGUUUAGGGCAGAAGUCAGGAGACUUUUUCUAUAAAGGGUCAGGUAGGAAAUACUUCAUCUUUCAAGCCAUAUGGUGUCUGUUGUGAACAAAUGGCCAUGCUAUGUUCCAGUAAAACUACCUGUGAGAUUAGAAUUUCAUAUAUGUCAUGUGUCCUGAAAUGUUAUUUUUGUUUUGAUUUUCUUCUUUCAACCAUUUGAAAAUUCACACAUGUCCUUAGCUUGCAGGCCAUAGGAGAACAGACUGCAGGGCUUUGUAGUCACCUGCCCAGGUGGGUGUGUUCCUUUUGAGGUUUCACAUAAACUUGUCCAGCAUUGUCUGUCCUGGAGGGCAACUUACUUCCCUCCUCAGCCCCAAACUCAAACAUGGCCUGAGCCCUUCACAUGCCACUGCUGCUGGUGGCCAAAGCUGAGUCUAGGGUUGCGGCUGGGAGGGUUCUGUGUAUUUUUGCCAUAAAAAACAAAAAGGGCAUAAUGAAAAAGACAAAAAUGGCAUAAUGAAACAUGAAAAAUUAAUGACAAAAUCUUUAAAAGAUCUUAUUGUGGAAAAAUGAAAAUACUAAAAAUAUUUUAAUACAAUUAAAAUGUGUGUAGAUUCAUGGUUAUAGUUGUAUUUGGAUAUAACUUAGAGGAAGUGAUGAUACUUCCUUUUUCAAAGUCAGUCAUUAAGGAUUCAGGAUCUAAUGUCUGUUGUAAGUUCUUUACGAUAUAAAAAAAGCUGUUUUCUCUUCAGGUUUUUCUGGAAGUAAAAUAACAGAUGAAGAAUGCUGUUUCUUAUCAAUAUAUUUCUUGUGUAUAACUGGUAGUACAUAUCUGGACUACAUUUAAAUGUUUCAUCACAUGUCCAGUUCUUAUAUUUAACCAAAUCAUCUAAGCAAGAUCUGUGCCAAAUGCCAAAAUUCUGGUUACAUCAUGUACUCCACUAUCAAAUAGCAAAAACGUUUCACCAUUUUCAAGAAACUUAUGCUCAUCAGGAAUCACAUAACCAUUUAUUUUUGUGAGGGAUAGGAGGUCCUAGAUUCUUCUUUUGUCUCCGACUUCUAAUAUUGCAUAAGUUUGGUAAAGAAAGCAUUAGAGAACAAGCUGCCAUAUCUAAAUUAGCUCAAGAAUCGAUAAUUAAUGCUCUCAAAGACUGCUGUGAAUUAGUUACUUUAUCUUUUAUGGUACAAUGGCCGUACAGCCAAUUAGUUGUGUGACCGAAAUGCUUGCAGCAAAGAUGCUUACAGCAAACAUACCGGUCAUAGGCUGGGAGACCCCUACCACCUUGUUUCCUGACUGUGCUCAGCUGUUCAGAGCCUCAAAGCCUGCACUGAUGGCACAAAGUCAGUCCUGUUCCUUUUAAAGGCAGAAACGGGGAGCAGUAGAGGAGAGUGAGAUGGGAAAUGGCAGGUACUGGUUUCCACAAGUUAUCUUCUCUGGAGGCCCCAAAUCGGCACACACAAAUUUUAGGAGAGAGGAAAAAACAAGUCAAUCCUUGAGACAUUUUCAAAUAACACAGGAAACUCAACUAUAUGCAGUCAGUUGGGGUGGGGGCUUUGGUUUUGGGUUUGAUGAAAUGGCCUCUCUUGGAGACAGUUGUAUUGAUUGGGGCAUCAACCCUGGCAUGAGACCACACGACAAGCAGGUACCUCCAAGGCCCCACUGGCCUCACCUGUGAGGAGCCCUCUCCCCUCUCACUGCUCCCAGUUUAAUUAUUAGCUACGGGUUUGAAUAAAACUUGAAACACUUGCAAAUUGUAAUCAGUUUUCACAUUUGCAACUGAUUUCCACAGCCACGUAACAUCUCAAGCUUUUGGCACCCAUCUGGAAACUUAGAACAGCAGUGGGUUUGCCCAGGAGGUAAUUUUCCCUGAUUCAUUUUGAAAGUGAAAAGUCACAGGGUUGGUCCUUCAGCUAGGGUGGUCCUGCUUCCCAGAAGGACUGCUCAGUCCCAUCCCUCAGCUUCCUCAGUGAGAAGUAGACCGGCAUGGGCAGAGUGGGGAAGGCAUAGAUUCAGAGACAGCAGGAGCUGCUCACCAGCCCAGGAGAGCCAUUCAGGGGCCACAUGCAGUGUCCAGGUGAGGAGACCCAGGCUGCAGGGGUGGGGAGCUAUGAGCAGGACCAUGGUCAAGGCUGUGUUCUGUGGGCCUGACUCAUGUCCUGGGCUCUCGCUGGUUAGGCACCAUGUCCAGGCCAUCCCAUCAUGAGUGGCUACUGUCCUGGGGGGCACUGGUGCCGCACUAACGGUCCAACAUGUUCUCCCACCAGGUCUGAAGCAGCACUGGUUCCUCAGAGCCCUCUGGAUUUUAUUU
Physeter macrocephalus (sperm whale) is the source of this 6096-nucleotide RNA transcript. It is a transcript of the gene named synaptosome associated protein 47, with no coding region annotated. The record is from RefSeq and is a predicted model, not a curated record. Lineage: Eukaryota; Metazoa; Chordata; Mammalia; Artiodactyla; Physeteridae. The transcript is spliced from 6 exons.